RNAcentral lists this ribosomal RNA (372 nucleotides) under uncultured bacterium. RNAcentral describes it as "bacterial SSU rRNA". It matches the Rfam family "Bacterial small subunit ribosomal RNA", at positions 102 to 507 of the family's 1533-position model. The record is from RNAcentral.
ACGGGUGCGUAACGCGUGGGAAUCUCGCCCUUAGGUACGGAAUAACUCGAGGGAAACUUGUGCUAAUACCGUAUGAUGUCGAGAGACCAAAGAUUUAUCGCCUAGGGAUGAGCCCGCGUAGGAUUAGCUAGUUGGUGGGGUAAAGGCCUACCAAGGCGACGAUCCUUAGCUGGUCUGAGAGGAUGAUCAGCCACACUGGGACUGAGACACGGCCCAGACUCCUACGGGAGGCAGCAGUGGGGAAUAUUGGACAAUGGGCGAAAGCCUGAUCCAGCAAUGCCGCGUGAGUGAAGAAGGCCUUCGGGUUGUAAAGCUCUUUUACCCGGGAAGAUAAUGACUGUACCGGGAGAAUAAGCCCCGGCUAACUCCGUG